RNAcentral lists this long non-coding RNA (2717 nucleotides) under Sorghum bicolor (sorghum). RNAcentral's name for it is "long non-coding RNA (SBIC_LNC003728)". Lineage: Eukaryota; Viridiplantae; Streptophyta; Magnoliopsida; Poales; Poaceae. The record is from RNAcentral.
UUCCAUCUAGCCAGGCACAAACUUCAAGCACUGGGCCUGAUUCAGGACAAAUUGGCGGUGAUGCUCAUCUUAGUGGUGCUGGUAUGCCAGCCACAAGCUCUAUGGAGAAGCAAGAGGCAGAACCUCCUGCAGCAACACAAGCACCAACUCCCAAGGGUUUACAAGACACUGCAAAUAUCAAGUCACCAAGACAAACCUCAACUGAUCAAACCGUGACACCUGCGAUGAACUCAGCAGCACCGUCCAAUGCUCCUGAAGGUAUUGAACCAGGUGAGGCAAUGCCUGAUAAACAGAAAUUCACCCGACUAUUAAUUUCAGGUUAAUAUUCAGUAUGCAUAGUUCUGCUGCUAAUAAGGUUGUUCCUCACAUACAGGUCCAGAUUCUUCUCGAUCUGUACAGACCCCUUUCUCUACUGAGCCAACAAAAGAAGACACUAUUGCUACUGCAGGUGAUCAAGCCGAGGACAUGCAAACAGUGACUCAACAACAAGCCAUUACACCUGCUCCAGACACAGCUAAACCUACAUUCCCAGGUGCUCAGGAUGCAUCAAUGAAGUUUCAGGAAAGUAUUCCUGAUGAUGGGCCAGUGGAAAAUUAUUCUCCUAAGCCUGCAACACAGACACAGCCACCUUUAGCAACUCUAGAUGUAUCACCGGAUGCCUCAAGCAAGGCUAAAUCAACUGGGCAAGGAUCCAAGCCACCAACAAGGUACCAAGCAUCUUCUCCGGAAACUCAGCUUGGUUCCUCACAAACACAAGGUGAAGCUGCCCCAGCAGAACAAAAAUUUGCUGCAACAGGUAAUGUUUUAGUACGUUUCCUGUUGGUUAACUAAUGGCGCGCCUUUGUUUCUGGUUUAGUAGUACAAAAAGGAAUACUAAAAUAGAACUACCCUGCCACAUCUGAGGUUGUUUCUUUCAUUUCAGAUGAAAAAUCUGCCAAUGCCUCAAAAUCAUUUGCCUCUGCUGAACCAAGGGAAGAAGAUGCCGAUGCUGCCAUUGCUGAUCAAACGAGUGUACCACCGACAAAGGUUACCCGUCAGGUCACAAGCUCAACACCAGAUGCUAGUGACGCUUUAUCAAGAGAUCAGGAAUCUUCUCCAGACGAUUGUCAGAUCAGAAAUUUGGGAAGCCCAGUUAUCGCUAGCCAAGAAGACGCCUCUCGUGCUGGACGUGCUUCUGAAGGAUCUACUCCUAAAGUGCAUAGUGCCGUGGUAGAUGAGAAGAGGACACUUCCAUCUAGCCAGGCACAAACUUCAAGCACUGGGCCUGAUUCAGGACAAAUUGGCGGUGAUGCUCAUCUUAGUGGUGCUGGUAUGCCAGCCACAAGCUCUAUGGAGAAGCAAGAGGCAGAACCUCCUGCAGCAACACAAGCACCAACUCCCAAGGGUUUACAAGACACUGCAAAUAUCAAGUCACCAAGACAAACCUCAACUGAUCAAACCGUGACACCUGCGAUGAACUCAGCAGCACCGUCCGAAGCUCCUGAAGGUAUUGAACCAGGUGAGGCAAUGCCUGAUAAACAGAAAUUCACCUGACUAUUAAUUUCAGGUUAAUAUUCAGUACGCAUAGUUCUGCUGCUAAUAAGGCCGUUCCUCACAUUACAGGUCCAGAUUCUUCUCGAUCUGUACAGACCCCUUUCUCUACCGAGCCAACAAACGAAGACACUAUUGGUACUGCAGCUGAUCAAGCCGAGGACAUGCAAACAGUAACUCAACAACAAGCCUUUACACCUGAUCCAGACACAACUAAACCUUCAUUCCCAGGUGCUCAGGAUGCAUCAAGGAAGUUUCUGAAAAGUAUUCCUGAUGAUGGGCCAUUGGAAAAUUAUUCUCCUAAGCCUGCAACACAGACACAGCCACAUGAAGCAACUCUAGAUGUAUCACCGGAUGCCUCGAGUAAGGCUAAAUCAACUGGGCAAGGAUCCAAGCCACCAACAAGGUACCAAGCAUCUUCUCCGGAAACUCAGCUUGGUUCCUCACAAACACAAGGUGAAGCUGCCCCAGCAGAACAAAAAUUUGCUGUAACAGGUAAUGUUUUAGUACGUUUCCUGUUCGUUAACUAAUGGUGCGCCUUUGUUUCUGGUUUAGUAGAAAAACAGGAAUACUGAAAUAGAACUACCCUGCCACAUCUGAGGUUCUCUUUCAUUUCAGAUGAAAAAUCUGUCAAUCCCUCAAAACCAUUUGCCUCUGCUGAACCAAGGGAAGGUGUGGAAGCUGCCAUUGCUGAUCAAAUGAGUGUACCACCAACAAAUGUUACCCGUCAGGUCACAAGCUCAACACCAGAUGCUAGUCACGCUUUAUCGAGCGAUCAGGUUUCUUCUCCUGACGAUGGUCAGAUCAGAAAUUUGGGAAGCCCACUUAUCGCUAAAGACGCCUCUCGUGCUGGACGUGCUUCUGAAGGAUCUACUCCUAAAGUGCAUAGUGCCGUUGUAGAUAAGAAGAUGACACUUCCAUCAAGCCAGGCACAAACUUCAAGCACUGGGCCUGAUUCAGGACAAAUUGGUGGUGAUGCUCGUCUUAGUGGUGCUGAUAUGCCAGCCACAAGCUCAAUGGAGAAGCAAGAGGUGGAACCUCCUGCAACAACACAAGCACCAACUUCUAAGGGUUUACAAGAUACUGGAAAUAUCGAGUCACCUAGACAAACCUCAACUGAUCAAACUGUGACACCUGCGAUGAACUCAGCAGCACCAUCCGAUACUCCUGAAGGUACUGAACCAGGU